UUAGUGGCGGACGGGUGAGUAACGCGUGGGUAACCUGCCUUACACAGGGGGAUAACACUUAGAAAUAGGUGCUAAAACCGCAUAAGCGCACAGCUUCGCAUGAAGCGGUGUGAAAAACUCCGGUGGUGUAGGAUGGACCCGCGUCUGAUUAGCUUGUUGGCGGGGUAACGGCCCACCAAGGCGACGAUCAGUAGCCGGCCUGAGAGGGCGGACGGCCACAUUGGGACUGAGACACGGCCCAGACUCCUACGGAAGGCAGCAG
RNAcentral lists this ribosomal RNA (262 nucleotides) under uncultured bacterium. RNAcentral describes it as "partial 16S ribosomal RNA". It matches the Rfam family "Bacterial small subunit ribosomal RNA", at positions 92 to 354 of the family's 1533-position model. The record is from RNAcentral.